GGGCGAAUAGCUCAGCUGGUUAGAGCACCUGCCUUACAAGCAGGGGGUCACAGGUUCGAAUCCUGUUUCGCCCA
RNAcentral lists this transfer RNA (74 nucleotides) under Candidatus Eiseniibacteriota bacterium. RNAcentral's name for it is "tRNA-Val". It matches the Rfam family "tRNA". From Rfam's summary of the family: Transfer RNA (tRNA) molecules are approximately 80 nucleotides in length. Their secondary structure includes four short double-helical elements and three loops (D, anti-codon, and T loops). Lineage: Bacteria; Candidatus Eiseniibacteriota. The record is from RNAcentral.